RNAcentral lists this long non-coding RNA (1449 nucleotides) under Salmo salar (Atlantic salmon). Its description in RNAcentral is "lncRNA (ENSSSAG00000085936.1)". The record is from RNAcentral. Lineage: Eukaryota; Metazoa; Chordata; Actinopteri; Salmoniformes; Salmonidae.
GACGUUUCAAGUGUUUAAUACCAAAGAUACAGCCAGUGCAUACAUUUAGAAAGAUCACAACACAUCAUGUACUUUUCCCUCCUUUUGGUCACCACCCUCUUGUAGACAUCACCUCCUCAGCUAUACAUUUUAUGACCCCAAUGAGUUUCCCUCCUUUCCCCUGUCCAUGGUCCUCUCUUUGUUUAGCCAGAUGUCAGAAUCACACCUCGUCCAUCUUCUGUCCUGAGCCUGACCCUGCUCUCUGAUCCUAGGCCAUUUCCUCUUAUCUAAGUCAUGGUUUCUAAACUAGCAAACACACAGUUUCAUGACCUAAACUGCAUUAAUACUCACAGUAAUCAUUCACUAAACAGGAUACAAACAAACUACAGUUUAACUUGAAACGUGUUACAUUUUAAUAGAAUCCAUAUCAGAUUGAAGCAGAAGUGCAUUGAACUGGGCCUGGCAGAAUGUUCAACUCGUAGUAAACAGCUGAUCUUACUGUAGAGAUGGGGAGACCAUACUUUAACAUACUGGACAAUAUCAAUGUUCAGAUGACAGCCAGGUUUGGACAAUAUCAAUGUUCAGAUGACAGCCAGGUUUGGACAAUAUCAAUGUUCAGAUGACAGCCAGGUUUGGACAAUAUCAAUGUUCAGAUGACAGCCAGGUUUGGACAAUAUCAAUGUUCAGAUGACAGCCAGGUUUGACCACCUUACUUAUUAGGUAUUUUGGCAAUGAGGCCCUUUAUCUACUGACCCAGAGUCAGAUGAGGUCCUUUAUCUACUGACCCAGAGUCAGAUGAGGCCCUUUAUCUACUGACCCAGAGUCAGAUGAGGCCCUUUAUCUACUGACCCAGAGUCCCGUGCAUACAAUUGUAAUGUCUCUGCAUGCAGUUUGAAGGAAGUUGCUAACUAGCGCUAGCGCAAUGACUGGAAGUCUAUGGGUAUCUGCUAGCAUGCAUUAGCGCAAUGACUUUAAAAAUAAAGUAAAACUAUGUUUGAUGUCUUCUGUGCCCAUAUGAAUAAGCCCUAUGAUGUAACUGGAAUGAUGAGAUCGAUGUUCUUCUUCUAUGUUUUUGUUUUAUUAUUUUACUGCCAUACUGUGUUGGAUCUUGUCUAGCCAUCUUGUCGCCAGAGUACCACAAUGGAAAUAAGUCCCAGACUUUAUUUUAACCUGUUGGGUCUAGGGGGCAGCAUUUGCACGUCUGGAUAAAAAAAAUGUACCCGAUUUAAUCUGGUUACUAAUCCUACCCAGUAACUAGAAUAUGCAUAUACUUAUUAUAUAUGGAUAGAAAACACUCUAAAGUUUCUAAAACUGUUUGAAUGGUGUCUGUGAGUAUAACAGAACUCAUUUGGCAGGCAAAACCCUGAGACAUUUUCUGACAGGAAGUGGAUACCUGAUGUUGACUUUAAACCUAUCCCAUUGAAAAACACAGGGGCUUAGGAAUAUUUUGGCACUUCCUAUUGCUUCCAC